Molecule: ribosomal RNA, 497 nt
Filed under: uncultured bacterium
Lineage: Bacteria
Description: partial 16S ribosomal RNA
Rfam family: Bacterial small subunit ribosomal RNA
Source: RNAcentral
GAUGAACGCUGGCGGCGUGCCUAAUACAUGCAAGUCGAGCGAACGGACGAGAAGCUUGCGUCUCUGAUGUUAGCGGCGGACGGGUGAGUAACACGUGGAUAACCUACCUAUAAUACUGGGAUAACUUCGGGAAACCGGAGCUAAUACCGGAUAAUAUUUUGAACCGCAUGGUUCAAAAGUGAAAGACGGUCUUGCUGUCUCUUAUAGAUGGAUCCGCGCUGCAUUAGCUAGUUGGUAAGGUAACGGCUUACCAAGGCAACGAUGCAUAGCCGACCUGUGAGGGUGAUCGGCCACACUGGAACUGAGACACGGUCCAGACUCCUACGGGAGGCAGCAGUAGGGAAUCUUACGCAAUGGGCGAAAGCAUGACAGAGCAACGCCGAGUGAGUGAUGGAGGUCUUCGGAUCGUAAAACUCUGUUAUUAGGGAAGAACAUAUGUGUAAGUAACUGUGCACAUCUUGACGGUACCUAAUCAGAAAGCCACGGCUAACUACGUG